GAUGAACGCUGGCGGCGUGCCUAAUACAUGCAAGUCGAACGAACAGACGAGGAGCUUGCGGCUCUGACGUUAGGGGCGGGCGUGUGAGUAACAUGUGUAUACCCUACCUAUAUUUCUGGUAUAACUUGGGGAAACCGGAGCAAAUACCAGAUGAUCUAUUGAACCGUGUGGUUCGAUGGUGAAAUACGGUUUUGCUGUAUGUUAUAGCUGGAUCCUCGCCUGAUGAGCUAGUUGUUGAGUUCAAGGCUUAUGAAGGCUACGAUGCGUAGACGACCGGUGAGACUGAUAGGCCACACUGGAACUGAGACACGGUCAAGAGUCCUACGGGAGGCACCAGUAGCGAAUCUUACGCAAUGGGCGAAAGUCUGACGGAGUAACGCCGAGUGAGUUACGACGGUCUUCGGAGCGUAAAACCCGGUUAUUAGUGAAGAACAAAUGUGUAAGUAACUAUGCCCGUAUUGACGGUAACUAAUAAGAAAGCAACGGCUAACUACGUG
Molecule: ribosomal RNA, 497 nt
Filed under: uncultured bacterium
Lineage: Bacteria
Description: partial 16S ribosomal RNA
Rfam family: Bacterial small subunit ribosomal RNA
Source: RNAcentral